UGCAGUCGAGCGGACAGAUGGGAGCUUGCUCCCUGAUGUUAGCGGCGGACGGGUGAGUAACACGUGGGUAACCUGCCUGUAAGACUGGGAUAACUCCGGGAAACCGGGGCUAAUACCGGAUGGUUGUUUGAACCGCAUGGUUCAGACAUAAAAGGUGGCUUCGGCUACCACUUACAGAUGGACCCGCGGCGCAUUAGCUAGUUGGUGAGGUAACGGCUCACCAAGGCGACGAUGCGUAGCCGACCUGAGAGGGUGAUCGGCCACACUGGGACUGAGACACGGCCCAGACUCCUACGGGAGGCAGCAGUAGGGAAUCUUCCGCAAUGGACGAAAGUCUGACGGAGCAACGCCGCGUGAGUGAUGAAGGUUUUCGGAUCGUAAAGCUCUGUUGUUAGGGAAGAACAAGUGCCGUUCAAAUAGGGCGGCACCUUGACGGUACCUAACCAGAAAGCCACGGCUAACUACGUGCCAGCAGCCGCGGUAAUACGUAGGUGGCAAGCGUUGUCCGGAAUUAUUGGGCGUAAAGGGCUCGCAGGCGGUUUCUUAAGUCUGAUGUGAAAGCCCCCGGCUCAACCGGGGAGGGUCAUUGGAAACUGGGGAACUUGAGUGCAGAAGAGGAGAGUGGAAUUCCACGUGUAGCGGUGAAAUGCGUAGAGAUGUGGAGGAACACCAGUGGCGAAGGCGACUCUCUGGUCUGUAACUGACGCUGAGGAGCGAAAGCGUGGGGAGCGAACAGGAUUAGAUACCCUGGUAGUCCACGCCGUAAACGAUGAGUGCUAAGUGUUAGGGGUUUCCGCCCCUUAGUGCUGCAGCUAACGCAUUAAGCACUCCGCCUGGGGAGUACGGUCGCAAGACUGAAACUCAAAGGAAUUGACGGGGGCCCGCACAAGCGGUGGAGCAUGUGGUUUAUUCGAAGCACGCGAAGAACCU
This 930-nucleotide ribosomal RNA is filed under the name Bacillus amyloliquefaciens. RNAcentral describes it as "bacterial SSU rRNA". It matches the Rfam family "Bacterial small subunit ribosomal RNA", at positions 56 to 971 of the family's 1533-position model. Lineage: Bacteria; Bacillati; Bacillota; Bacilli; Caryophanales; Bacillaceae. The record is from RNAcentral.